GUGUCAGCCGCCGCGGUAAUACGGAGGGGGCUAGCGUUGCUCGGAAUUACUGGGCGUAAAGGGCGCGUAGGCGGAUUGUCAAGUCAGGCGUGAAAGCCCCGGGCUCAACCCGGGAACUGCGCUUGAGACUGAUGAUCUCGAGUUCGGGAGAGGGUGGUGGAAUUCCCAGUGUAGAGGUGAAAUUCGUAGAUAUUGGGAAGAACACCAGUGGCGAAGGCGGCCACCUGGCCCGAUACUGACGCUGAGGCGCGAAAGCGUGGGGAGCAAACAGGAUUAGAUACCCUGGUAGUCCACGCCGUAAACGAUGUGUGCUAGACGUCGGGCAGCAUGCUGUUCGGUGUCGCAGCUAACGCGAUAAGCACACCGCCUGGGGAGUACGGCCGCAAGGUUAAAACUCAAAUGAAUUGGCGGGG
RNAcentral lists this ribosomal RNA (413 nucleotides) under uncultured prokaryote. RNAcentral's name for it is "bacterial SSU rRNA". It matches the Rfam family "Bacterial small subunit ribosomal RNA", at positions 505 to 918 of the family's 1533-position model. The record is from RNAcentral.